This 801-nucleotide ribosomal RNA is filed under the name Triticum aestivum (bread wheat). RNAcentral describes it as "partial small subunit ribosomal RNA". The record is from RNAcentral. Lineage: Eukaryota; Viridiplantae; Streptophyta; Magnoliopsida; Poales; Poaceae.
AUGCUGAUGAGUCAUUUCGCUACUUUCUGCUGGCAGUACAAGACUUCGGCGGAAGCCGCGGCGGAUGGGGUGUGCGUCAUCCUCCGGCUAUGCGCGCAAUCUAAGACAGUGAAGCGCGUCAUCCACACCGCAUCGGUGACGGCUGCUUCGCCGCUGACAAAGUCCUCCAGCGCCGCGACCGCGGUGUACAGCGAUUUCAUCUCUGAAUCUUGUUGGACUCUGCUGGAUGUCGAUUACCCUCUCCGGAGCAUGCAUUUCGAUAAGUACAUAGAGUCCAAGGUCCUGUCAGAGAAGGAGCUCCUCAGCUACAACGACGGCGAGAGCCCGGCGUUCGAGGUGGUCACCCUGUCGCUGGGCCUCGUCGGGGGCGACACGGUGCUCAGCCACCUCCCAGAGACGGUGCAGAGCAUGGUGGCCCCGGUAACCAAGCAAGAUCCCUACUUCAUGCUGCCGAGGAUCCUGCAGAGGCUGCUGGGCUCGGUGCCGCUGGUGCACGUCGACGACGUCUGCGCUGCGCUCAUCUUCUGCAUGGAGCAGCCCUCCAUCUCCGGCCGGUUCCUCUGUGCCGCCGCCUACCCGACGACCCUCGACAUCCUAGACCACUACAGCAGCAAGUACCCCCACCUUGAAGUCCUCAGAGAGACUGAUGAAGUAGCCAGGGUGCACCCCGAGAGGAGCAAGCUUUGGGAACUGGGCUUCAGGUACAAGUACGGGGUUGAGGAGAUACUAGACGAAAGCAUCGACUGUGCUGUGAGGCUGGGCUCCCUGGAUGCAUCCAAGCUCAUCGUCCAGCAGGAGUGA